GUGCCAGCAGCUGCGGUAAUACGAAGGGGCUAGCGUUGCUCGGAAUCACUGGGCGUAAAGGGUGCGUAGGCGGGUCUUUAAGUCAGGGGUGAAAUCCUGGAGCUCAACUCCAGAACUGCCUUUGAUACUGAGGAUCUUGAGUCCGGAAGAGGUGAGUGGAACUGCGAGUGUAGAGGUGAAAUUCGUAGAUAUUCGCAAGAACACCAGUGGCGAAGGCGCUCACUGGUCCGGUACUGACGCUGAGGCACGAAAGCGUGGGAGCAAAUAGGAUUAGAUACCCUGGUAGUCCACGCUGUAAACGAUGAAUGCCAGCCGUUGGGAG
This 322-nucleotide ribosomal RNA is filed under the name uncultured Afipia sp. RNAcentral describes it as "bacterial SSU rRNA". It matches the Rfam family "Bacterial small subunit ribosomal RNA", at positions 505 to 829 of the family's 1533-position model. Lineage: Bacteria; Pseudomonadati; Pseudomonadota; Alphaproteobacteria; Hyphomicrobiales; Nitrobacteraceae. The record is from RNAcentral.